Molecule: ribosomal RNA, 303 nt
Filed under: uncultured bacterium
Lineage: Bacteria
Description: partial 16S ribosomal RNA
Rfam family: Bacterial small subunit ribosomal RNA
Source: RNAcentral
AGCAGUAGCCGCGGGAAUACGUAGGUGGCAAGCGUUGUCCGGAAUUAUUGGGCGUAAAGGGAGCGUAGGCGGAUGAAUUAGUCAGGGGUGAAAUCCCGGGGCUCAACCUCGGAACUGCCUUUGAUACUGGCGAUCUUGAGUAUGGGAGAGGUGUGUGGAACUCCGAGUGUAGAGGUGAAAUUCGUAGAUAUUCGGAAGAACACCAGUGGCGAAGGCGACACACUGGCUCAUUACUGACGCUGAGGCGCGAAAGCGUGGGGAGCAAACAGGAUUAGAUACCCCUGUAGUCCCUGUCUCUUAUAC